This is a transfer RNA of 72 nucleotides. It matches the Rfam family "tRNA". Rfam says of the family: Transfer RNA (tRNA) molecules are approximately 80 nucleotides in length. Their secondary structure includes four short double-helical elements and three loops (D, anti-codon, and T loops). Further hydrogen bonds mediate the characteristic L-shaped molecular structure. tRNAs have two regions of fundamental functional importance: the anti-codon, which is responsible for specific mRNA codon recognition, and the 3' end, to which the tRNAs corresponding amino acid is attached (by aminoacyl-tRNA synthetases). tRNAs cope with the degeneracy of the genetic code in two manners: having more than one tRNA (with a specific anti-codon) for a particular amino acid; and 'wobble' base-pairing, i.e. permitting non-standard base-pairing at the 3rd anti-codon position.
GGGGCAGUAGUUCAGUGGUAGAACGUCGGUCUCCAAAACCGAAUGUCGUGGGUUCAAGUCCUGCCUGCCCCG